AGCUCAGCUGGCUAGAGCGUACGGUUCAUACCCGUGAGGUCGGGGGUUCGAUCCCCUCCGCCGCCA
RNAcentral lists this transfer RNA (66 nucleotides) under Staphylococcus pseudintermedius. RNAcentral describes it as "tRNA-Met". It matches the Rfam family "tRNA", at positions 9 to 71 of the family's 71-position model. From Rfam's summary of the family: Transfer RNA (tRNA) molecules are approximately 80 nucleotides in length. Their secondary structure includes four short double-helical elements and three loops (D, anti-codon, and T loops). The record is from RNAcentral. Lineage: Bacteria; Bacillati; Bacillota; Bacilli; Caryophanales; Staphylococcaceae.